This is a long non-coding RNA of Populus euphratica (Euphrates poplar), 999 nucleotides long. RefSeq lists it as uncharacterized. The record is from RefSeq and is a predicted model, not a curated record. The transcript has 2 exons. NCBI's taxonomy places the organism in Eukaryota, Viridiplantae, Streptophyta, Magnoliopsida, Malpighiales, Salicaceae.
AUCAGAAAAUACCAUUGGCUAGACUGCAUCGAGUUGUUGAUAAGAAGGGCAACACAUUGCUGCACCAUGUUGCAGAUAUGGAGCAUUACAGAGGAGGAACCAAGCCUGGACCUGCACAUCAACUUCAGGAUGAGUUGCAAUGGUUUGAGCAAGUUAGGGAGGUAAUUCCUUCUCAUUAUGUCACGCUUCGGAACGAGGAUGGCAUGACUGCAAGAGAACUCUUCUACGAGCAGCACAAGGAGCAACUGAACAGUGCACGAACGUGGAUCAAGGAAACAACUUAGUCUUGUUCCACAGUAGCUGCACUUGUUGCUACUUUUGUCUUUGCCGCUGCCUAUACUGUGCCUGGCGGUUCUGAUGAGAAUGGCAAGCCCAAUCUCAUCAAAUCUCCCUAUUUUCUGACUUUCGCUGUUGCGGAUGUUGACUCCCUAGCAUUCUCCUUGACUUCACUUACGGUGUUUCUCUCUUUGUUGACCUCUCGAUUUGAGCUGCAAGAUUUCCACAUCGCUCAUCCUCGAAAACUUACCGUUGGCUUCACCUUCCUCUUUUUAUCAAUGAUGACGAGCAUGCUAUCCUUUGGGUCAACAAUUUUAAUACUCGUUCAAUCAGGGACAAACUUAACAACAUUACUCCUUUCCGUUGCUUCAUUUCUUCCUGUCUUGGUAUUUACAAUAAUGCAAUUCCGUCUUUACGUCUCAUUUCUGGACUCUACCUACGACAUUCUCAAGAGAAACUGGAAAGCUCUGCCACGGUUUCUUGCCCCUUGCCUACCACGGGAGAGAAAGCUCCGUCGAUUUGAUUAAUAUGGGAGGUUUAACUGGCAUAGAGGUUAUUCCAUUUUCUUGAUGGUUUGAACCUGUUCCAUAGAUCAUUAUAUAUUGUGUUUUAUUGCAUGUAUGGUUGUUAUUCAUUUUCGUGAUAUUUAUGUGGCUGUGCUGUUUUCAAUGACGGCCUUGAAGCCAGUAUGUAUUAUAUAUAGUUUGUCACAGGUUGGUAUUU